UGGCGACCGGCGCACGGGUGAGUAACACGUAUCCAACCUGCCGAUAGCUCGGGGAUAGCCUUUCGAAAGAAAGAUUAAUACCCGAUGGUAUAAUCAGACCGCAUGGUUUGAUUAUUAAAGAAUUUCGGUUAUCGAUGGGGAUGCGUUCCAUUAGGCAGUUGGUGAGGUAACGGCUCACCAAGCCUUCGAUGGAUAGGGGUUCUGAGAGGAAGGUCCCCCACAUUGGAACUGAGACACGGUCCAA
This 244-nucleotide ribosomal RNA is filed under the name uncultured bacterium. RNAcentral describes it as "partial 16S ribosomal RNA". It matches the Rfam family "Bacterial small subunit ribosomal RNA", at positions 89 to 334 of the family's 1533-position model. The record is from RNAcentral.